CUUCAUUACCUCCUAAAAGCCCUAUCUCCAAAUACAGUCACACUGGGGUCUAGGGCUUCAACCUAUGAAUUUGAGUUGGGGGGACAUAUAUCAAGACUGACUACUCGUAGAUUAUUUUAGCCCUGCAUGUUUAAUCAUAUUUGUAGAUAGCACUGUUGAAAAAUACAGAAAAAUUAUGAUAAUGAGUUACAUUUUACUUGAAAUAGCUUAGAAUCUUAGCAAGUCCUUUUUGAUAUAAAUUGUGGAGGGGUCAGUCACUUAGGUCUAUUUCAGAGAGAAACUUUCUAAGAAAUUCUCUAAAUAAGAUUCUUUGGUAACAAAGUAAAAUGUUACCUGACUUCUCAUCCCAGUAUCUCAAUUUUUUCCUAGGGCAAAAUCUUUUUCCCUUGAAGACUGGAAAUAUUAUCCAUGUUGUCCUCCGGAAUAUUUUCAAUGACUUGUGCCCUGCCAGCUCUAGCUUUUGAAGGGUCUACACUCAUCAUCAACAGAUUCUGGGGGUUCAUGCACAGAUUUCUUACCUGGGUAUAUUGUGUGAUGCUGAGCUUUGGAGUUCAACUGAUUUCAUCACCCAGAAGAACAACCAGAGAAAGCCAAGUAUGCACCUGAUGCCCCACUUCCAGUGAGCCGCCUCCAGCUUCCCACGCCAACAGCUUCCAAUCAGCACACUUUCGGAGCCUUCCCUUUUCUCCACGAUGAAAGCUUCCCCACUCCUCUGACUGCCUUUGAGCCUCUGCCAAAACUCAAGUGAUGGUAGCCGACUCCCUGCUACCGCAAGCUUGGAAUAAACAGCCUUUGCUUUUCUCA
RNAcentral lists this long non-coding RNA (804 nucleotides) under Homo sapiens (human). RNAcentral describes it as "HSALNT0332580". Lineage: Eukaryota; Metazoa; Chordata; Mammalia; Primates; Hominidae. The record is from RNAcentral.